Molecule: ribosomal RNA, 252 nt
Filed under: uncultured bacterium
Lineage: Bacteria
Description: partial 16S ribosomal RNA
Rfam family: Bacterial small subunit ribosomal RNA
Source: RNAcentral
UACGUAGGGAGCAAGCGUUGUCCGGAAUUACUGGGUGUAAAGGGAGCGCAGGUGGGAUGGAAAGUUGGAUGUUUAAUCUACGGGCUCAACCCGUAUCAGCAUUCAAAACUAUCAUUCUUGAGUGGAGUAGAGGCAGGCGGAAUUCCAGGUGUAGCGGUGGAAUGCGUAGAUAUCUGGAGGAACACCAGUGGCGAAGGCGGCCUGCUGGGCUCUAACUGACACUGAGGCUCGAAAGCGUGGGUAGCAAACAGG